RNAcentral lists this non-coding RNA (25 nucleotides) under Mus musculus (house mouse). The record is from RNAcentral. Lineage: Eukaryota; Metazoa; Chordata; Mammalia; Rodentia; Muridae.
GUUGCCAGUCACGCCCAAAUCUUGA